GACGAACGCUGGCGGCGUGCUUAACACAUGCAAGUCGAACGGAAAGGCCCUGCUCUUGUGGGGUGCUCGAGUGGCGAACGGGUGAGUAACACGUGAGUAACCUGCCCUUGACUUUGGGAUAACUUCAGGAAACUGGGGCUAAUACCGGAUAGGAGCUCCUGCUGCAUGGUGGGGGUUGGAAAGUUUCGGCGGUUGGGGAUGGACUCGCGGCUUAUCAGCUUGUUGGUGGGGUAGUGGCUUACCAAGGCUUUGACGGGUAGCCGGCCUGAGAGGGUGACCGGCCACAUUGGGACUGAGAUACGGCCCAGACUCCUACGGGAGGCGGCAGUGGGAAAUAUUGCACAAUGGGCGGAAGCCUGAUGCAGCAACGCCGCGUGCGGGAUGACGGCCUUCGGGUUGUAAACCGCUUUCGCCUGUGACGAAGCGUGAGUGACGGUAAUGGGUAAAGAAGCACCGGCUAACUACGUG
RNAcentral lists this ribosomal RNA (468 nucleotides) under uncultured bacterium. RNAcentral describes it as "partial 16S ribosomal RNA". It matches the Rfam family "Bacterial small subunit ribosomal RNA", at positions 28 to 507 of the family's 1533-position model. The record is from RNAcentral.